CCUACGGGUGGCUGCAGUGGGGAAUUUUGGACAAUGGGCGAAAGCCUGAUCCAGCCAUGCCGCGUGAGUGAAGAAGGCCUUCGGGUUGUAAAGCUCUUUUAGUCGGAAAGAAAAGAUCAUAACGAAUAAUUAUGAUUCAUGACGGUACCGACAGAAAAAGCACCGGCUAACUACGUGCCAGCAGCCGCGGUAAUACGUAGGGUGCGAGCGUUAAUCGGGGUUACUGGGCGUGUUUGGUGCGUCAGCUGUGAAAUCCCCGGGCUUAACCUGGGAAUUGCGUUUGAAACUAUAAGACUAGAGUGCAGCAGAGGGGAGUGGAAUUCCAUGUGUAGCAGUGAAAUGCGUAGAGAUGUGGAAGAACACCGAUGGCGAAGGCAGCUCCCUGGGUUGACACUGACGCUCAUGCACGAAAGCGUGGGGAGCAAACAGGAUUAGAUACCCCGGUAGUC
RNAcentral lists this ribosomal RNA (449 nucleotides) under uncultured bacterium. Its description in RNAcentral is "partial 16S ribosomal RNA". It matches the Rfam family "Bacterial small subunit ribosomal RNA", at positions 338 to 795 of the family's 1533-position model. The record is from RNAcentral.